RNAcentral lists this ribosomal RNA (873 nucleotides) under bacterium 831. RNAcentral's name for it is "bacterial SSU rRNA". It matches the Rfam family "Bacterial small subunit ribosomal RNA", at positions 117 to 985 of the family's 1533-position model. The record is from RNAcentral.
UUAGGAAUCUGCCUAUUAGUGGGGGACAACAUUUCGAAAGGAAUGCUAAUACCGCAUACGUCCUACGGGAGAAAGCAGGGGAUCUUCGGACCUUGCGCUAAUAGAUGAGCCUAAGUCGGAUUAGCUAGUUGGUGGGGUAAAGGCCUACCAAGGCGACGAUCUGUAGCGGGUCUGAGAGGAUGAUCCGCCACACUGGGACUGAGACACGGCCCAGACUCCUACGGGAGGCAGCAGUGGGGAAUAUUGGACAAUGGGCGGAAGCCUGAUCCAGCCAUGCCGCGUGUGUGAAGAAGGCCUUAUGGUUGUAAAGCACUUUAAGCGAGGAGGAGGCUACUUUAGUUAAUACCUAGAGAUAGUGGACGUUACUCGCAGAAUAAGCACCGGCUAACUCUGUGCCAGCAGCCGCGGUAAUACAGAGGGUGCAAGCGUUAAUCGGAUUUACUGGGCGUAAAGCGCGCGUAGGCGGCUAAUUAAGUCAAAUGUGAAAUCCCCGAGCUUAACUUGGGAAUUGCAUUCGAUACUGGUUAGCUAGAGUGUGGGAGAGGAUGGUAGAAUUCCAGGUGUAGCGGUGAAAUGCGUAGAGAUCUGGAGGAAUACCGAUGGCGAAGGCAGCCAUCUGGCCUAACACUGACGCUGAGGUGCGAAAGCAUGGGGAGCAAACAGGAUUAGAUACCCUGGUAGUCCAUGCCGUAAACGAUGUCUACUAGCCGUUGGGGCCUUUGAGGCUUUAGUGGCGCAGCUAACGCGAUAAGUAGACCGCCUGGGGAGUACGGUCGCAAGACUAAAACUCAAAUGAAUUGACGGGGGCCCGCACAAGCGGUGGAGCAUGUGGUUUAAUUCGAUGCAACGCGAAGAACCUUACCUGGCCUUGAC